Molecule: microRNA, 21 nt
Filed under: Brachypodium distachyon (stiff brome)
Lineage: Eukaryota; Viridiplantae; Streptophyta; Magnoliopsida; Poales; Poaceae
Description: bdi-miR7755-3p
Source: miRBase by way of RNAcentral
UCAAUUUACGGUGUAGAAUUG